This 1852-nucleotide ribosomal RNA is filed under the name human gut metagenome. RNAcentral describes it as "bacterial LSU rRNA". It matches the Rfam family "Bacterial large subunit ribosomal RNA", at positions 502 to 2442 of the family's 2925-position model. The record is from RNAcentral.
UGUGAAGGAAAGGUGAAAAGAACCCCGGGAGGGGAGUGAAAAGAACCUGAAACCUUGUGCUUACAAGCACACAAAGCACGUCAACGUGUGAUGUGGUACCUUUUGUAGAAUGGUCCGGCGAGUGAAUGUAACUGGCGAGGUUAAGUUCUUAAGGAACGGAGCCGAAGCGAAAGCGAGUCUGAAUAGGGCGUCUUAGUCAGUUGUAUUCGACCCGAAACCGGGUGACCUAUCCAUGUCCAGGAUGAAGUUAAGGUAAAACUUGAUGGAGGUCCGAACCCACGGUCGUUGAAAUGCCCGGGGAUGAGAUGUGGAUAGCGGAGAAAUUCCAAUCGAACCCGGAUAUAGCUGGUUCUCUCCGAAAUAGCUUUAGGGCUAGCCUCGACUGAACAUUACCGGAGGUAGAGCACUGAAUGGGCUAGGGGCCGAGAGGUUACUGAACCCUAUCAAACUUCAAAUGCCGGAAAAUGAUAGUCGGGAGUCAGACUGCGUGAGAUAAGUUUCGUAGUCGAAAGGGAAACAGCCCAGACCCACAGCUAAGGUCCCAAAGUACGGUUAAGUGGAAAAGGAUGUGGGGUUGCACAGACAACCAGGAUGUUGGCUUAGAAGCAGCCACUCAUUAAAAGAGUGCGUAAUAGCUCACUGGUCGAGUGACUCUGCGCCGAAAAUUUAACGGGGCUAAAUCGUACACCGAAGCUUGGGAUGUAUCUAUGAUGCAUGGUAGGAGAGCGUUGAAUGCGGGGUGAAGUCAGAGCGAAAGCGCUGGUGGACUGCAUUGAAGUGAGAAUGCCGGAAUGAGUAGCGAGAUUUAUGUGAGAAUCAUAAAGGCCGAAAGACUAAGGUUUCAGAAGGAAGGUUCGUCCGCUUCUGGUUAGCCGGGAGCUAAGGUGAGGCCGAAAGGCGUAGCCGAUGCACAUACGGUGGAGAUUCCGUAGCCGUCGAAAUAUUUAAGCAAAGGGACACUUAUGAAGGACAUGACCCGGGCGAUGGUAGCCCCGGGCGUAAGGGACCGAAAACAAGUAGGGAAGCAUGUUUGGAUUAAGGCGAGAAAAGCUUUGUGUAUAUAUUAGACGUCCGUACCGCAAACCGACACAGGUAGUCAGGAAGAGGAUUCUAAGGCCAACGGGAGAAGGGUAGUUAAGGAACUCGGCAAAUUGACCCCGUAACUUCGGGAUAAGGGGCGGUGCGCAAGCACCCGCAGUGAAUAGGUCCAGGCGACUGUUUAUCAAAAACACAGCUCUCUGCUAAAUCGAAAGAUGACGUAUAGGGGGUGACACCUGCCCGGUGCUGGAAGGUUAAGAGGAGGAGUGCAAGCUCCGAAUUGAAGCCCCAGUAAACGGCGGCCGUAACUAUAACGGUCCUAAGGUAGCGAAAUUCCUUGUCGGGUAAGUUCCGACCCGCACGAAUGGUGUAACGAUCUGGACGCUGUCUCAACUGCCCACCCGGCGAAAUUGUAGUACCGGUGAAGAUGCCGGUUACCCGCGGCAAGACGGAAAGACCCCAUGGAGCUUUACUGUAACUUGAUAUUGGGUCUUGGUAUUCUAUGUACAGGAUAGGCGGGAGACUGAGAAACAUACACGCCAGUGUAUGCGGAGUCACCCUUGGGAUACCGCUCUUAGAGUACUGAGAUUCUAACCUGCGGCCGUGAAUCCGGUCGGGGGACAUUGUCAGGUGGGCAGUUUGACUGGGGCGGUCGCCUCCGAAAAAGUAACGGAGGCGCUCAAAGGUUAGCUCAGCACGGACGGAAACCGUGCCUCUGAGUGUAAACGCAAAAGCUAGCCUAACUGCGAGGGUGACGGCCCGAGCAGUAACGAAAGUUGGAGUUAGUGAUCCGGCGGUAUGUGAAUGGAAAUGC